Molecule: ribosomal RNA, 253 nt
Filed under: uncultured bacterium
Lineage: Bacteria
Description: partial 16S ribosomal RNA
Rfam family: Bacterial small subunit ribosomal RNA
Source: RNAcentral
GACGGAGGGUGCAAGCGUUGCUCGGAAUCACUGGGCGUAAAGGGUGCGUAGGCGGCUGUGUAAGUCUGGCGUGAAAGCCCCGGGCUCAGCCCGGGAAGUGCGCUCGAAACUGCGCGGCUCGAGUGCCGGAGGGGAGAGUGGAAUUCCUGGUGUAGCGGUGAAAUGCGUAGAUAUCAGGAGGAAUACCGGUGGCGAAAGCGACUCUCUGGACGGCAACUGACGCUGAGGCACGAAAGCGUGGGGAGCAAACAGG